GCCCAGAUCGCAUAGCCUGGUAUUGCGCAAGCUUGGAAAGCUUGUUCCUUCGGGAGUCGUCGGUUCAAAUCCGGCUCUGGGCG
This 83-nucleotide transfer RNA is filed under the name Candidatus Woesearchaeota archaeon. Its description in RNAcentral is "tRNA-Ser". It matches the Rfam family "tRNA". Rfam says of the family: Transfer RNA (tRNA) molecules are approximately 80 nucleotides in length. Their secondary structure includes four short double-helical elements and three loops (D, anti-codon, and T loops). Lineage: Archaea; Nanobdellati; Candidatus Woesearchaeota. The record is from RNAcentral.